AUUGAACGCUGGCGGCAGGCCUAACACAUGCAAGUCGAGCGGAGCGGCGGACGGGUGAGUAAUGACUAGGAAUCUGCCUGGUAGUGGGGGAUAACGUCCGGAAACGGGCGCUAAUACAGCAUACUCUCAGAUGAGCCUAGGUCGGAUGAGCUGGUUGGUGGGGUAAAGGCCUACCAAGGCGACGACCAGUAACUGGUCUGAGAGGAUGAUCAGGCACACUGGAACGGAGACCCGGUCCAGACUCCUACGGGAGGCAGCAGUGGGGAAUAUUGUACAAUGGGCGCAAGCCUGAUCCAGCCAUGCCGCGUGUGUGAAGAAGGUCUUCGGAUUGUAAAGCACUUUAAGUUGGGAGGCGUUACCAACAGAAUAAGCACCGGCUAACUUCGUGCCAGCAGCCGCGGUAAUAC
This 407-nucleotide ribosomal RNA is filed under the name uncultured bacterium. RNAcentral's name for it is "partial 16S ribosomal RNA". It matches the Rfam family "Bacterial small subunit ribosomal RNA", at positions 30 to 526 of the family's 1533-position model. The record is from RNAcentral.